This 473-nucleotide ribosomal RNA is filed under the name uncultured bacterium. Its description in RNAcentral is "SSU rRNA". It matches the Rfam family "Bacterial small subunit ribosomal RNA", at positions 26 to 518 of the family's 1533-position model. The record is from RNAcentral.
AGGACGAACGCUGGCGGCGUGCUUAACACAUGCAAGUCGAGCGGAAAGGCCCUUCGGGGUACUCGAGCGGCGAACGGGUGGGUAACACGUGAGCAACCUGCCCUUAGCUCCGGGAUAGCUCCGGGAAACCGGAAUUAAUACCGGAUACGACCACGGCCGACAUCUGCUGUGGUGGAAAGGAUUCCGGCUAAGGAUGGGCUCGCGGCCUAUCAGCUAGUUGGUGGAGUAACGGCCCACCAAGGCGACGACGGGUAGCCGGCCUGAGAGGGCGACCGGCCACACUGGGACUGAGACACGGCCCAGACUCCUACGGGAGGCAGCAGUGGGGAAUAUUGCGCAAUGGGCGAAAGCCUGACGCAGCGACGCCGCGUGGGGAUGAAGGCCUUCGGGUUGUAAACCCCUUUCAGCAGGGACGAAGCGAAAGUGACGGUACCUGCAGAAGAAGCGCCGGCUAACCACGUGCCAGCAGCCGC